CGUAACUCUCUGCAACCACCGCCGAACAGCCCGCCGCUCCCAGCGCCACCGGCGCGUGCUCACGCGACGACCCGCACCCGAAGUUACCGCCUGCGAUUAUGAUCUUGUACUUUGUUUUUGUUUCGUUUUCGUCGAUGAAGCGCGUGGUGUAGGUCGCGGGCAGGCCGAUUAAAGCGUAGCUGCCGAGUUUUUCGUAUUCAUCGGGAUUGGAUGGGACCAAGGUGAGGUACUCGGCGGGGAUGAUUUGAUCGGUGUCGAUGUUGUCGCCGACCACAUAGCAGAGGCCGUGAAAGGUCCUGCUUGGUUCCUUGGUGGCGCGUGAAUCUGCUGAGGUGGCUUUAGGGAUUACGGAAACGGGGCGUUGGAAAGUGACGGCGGCCCUUCCGUUGCCGGUGGUGAAUUUGAGCGAGUGUGGGAUGAUAUUGAAUAAGGGUUUGGUCUUGGGGAUGGAUGAUGAAGUGAAAGUAGAGUUUGCACCAAA
RNAcentral lists this long non-coding RNA (481 nucleotides) under Citrus sinensis (sweet orange). RNAcentral's name for it is "long non-coding RNA (CSIN_LNC001950)". The record is from RNAcentral. Lineage: Eukaryota; Viridiplantae; Streptophyta; Magnoliopsida; Sapindales; Rutaceae.